AUAUGGUCAAGUGAAAAGAGGGUCCACGGAGGAUGCCUAGGAGCUGCCAGGCGAAGAAGGACGCGACAAGCUGCGAAAAGCCGCGGGGAGGGGC
This 94-nucleotide ribosomal RNA is filed under the name Sphaerochaeta halotolerans. RNAcentral's name for it is "partial 23S ribosomal RNA". It matches the Rfam family "Bacterial large subunit ribosomal RNA", at positions 1 to 89 of the family's 2925-position model. The record is from RNAcentral. Lineage: Bacteria; Pseudomonadati; Spirochaetota; Spirochaetia; Spirochaetales; Sphaerochaetaceae.